GCCACUGUGACAUCACUAACAUCACUCCAGAACUUCAAGGCAAGAUCCAAGAGUUUCAGCAGCCAGCAUUCCCUCUCCUGCGCCUGAGUAUGCGUCUCAUCCCACAGCUGGGACAGGCUAGACACUUGCUCCUGGAUUGCUAAGAUAACAAAGAUAUAUAUAUUGCUUAGAAUCUGCUCUUUCCCCACUGUUAAUAGCAUUGCUGCUAGGACAGUAUCAUGCCUAUUUACAAACAAGACCACAUUACCUGUGCCGACAGAUCCAUCACCAGCUGCCUGUGUGUUAGCCAGCAGCUCAUCUGCCUGUGUCUUGACACUGCCAAGGCCCAGCUCCAGCUUGGACAGCUCAGACAGGGUGUGCUUGUUGUCCUGCAGCUGCUCCUGGAUCCUUGGGGUGAGGCCUUGAAGAGAGGUGUGAGUCUGUAUACGACUGCGCAGGCGGUCAAGACUCUCUCUGAUAAGAGUCAUUCUCUCAUUCAGCUACAGCUGCACACAGUACUGCAUCUCCAGCAUGUGUCUGCGCUCCUGCUGCCCCCAGAAGCUCCCGCUCGAUGCGGCCCAGCCACAGGUGGAGGUCCUCCUGGCUGGAGGUGCAGCGACUGGAGGCCUCCAUGGCCUGCUCUAACCUCUGCAGCACGUCCAGACUGCUAAGACUCAGCACAGAGCAACGGAUGCGCAGAGCAUCCAUCUUCUCCUGUACCUGCUGGGCUUCCUCCUCUGAAACAAAGGACAAAUCACAAACAUUGGUCAUAUCAGCAGACAGCAGUAAUAGGCACAAUGCAUAUUUACUACACUGCAUAUGCACUUGAACCAGACGUGAGAGACUUCCAACCUUGGCCCUAUCUGUGGCCUCUGAGAUAUGCAGCAUCACUCUCUCUGCAUUUCGGAGUUCAGCUAGGGCCUGUUCCACAGAUAUGAGCCAUUGCUGCAAGCUGUCUACUCCUUCCUGGAAGAGCUGGGCCCUGGGCAGAAUUAGCUCCAGACUCGCUCUCCUACCAGCAACAAAACAAAAACCAUUUUAACUGUAAGGCCUCCCACUUAUGUUUAAGAGCGGAGAGCUUGACCUUUGCCUGCUCCCCCUCUUCUCCGGGGUGGACCUCCACCAGCCGAGGGCCCUCCAGCAUCAUAGAGUCCAUACUACACCUUCGGUCAGUUAAGAGACGCUGCAAAAGCUGUAAAAGAAUGGUUAAAGAGAUACUGAAACGAAAAGUUUUUUUUGUAUAAUACAUUUGUAUAAAAUAAAAGAACGCAGCAGUACUGCAGAUGAUGUUUACCAUAUAUUUGAGGUUUAAUUUCUGAGAAAUGGCAUUGCAUGCAGUAAGAAUAAAC
This is a long non-coding RNA of Micropterus dolomieu (smallmouth bass), 1328 nucleotides long. RefSeq lists it as uncharacterized. The record is from RefSeq and is a predicted model, not a curated record. NCBI's taxonomy places the organism in Eukaryota, Metazoa, Chordata, Actinopteri, Centrarchiformes, Centrarchidae. The transcript is spliced from 4 exons.